GGAAUCCGGAGCGCGGCCCAUUCACACGGCAGCUGGGAGGAACCAAGUGGGCGCCCGGAGGGGGCGGCUCCCGGCUGAGGACCCAACCCAGAGCCUUGCGCUCGCCAGGUGGGCGCCCUUCCGCUGAGCUAAACCCAGCCCCUCCAAUAAAAUAUUGAGAUUCUCUUUCAGUCCUAAAAGAAGAAGAAAUCUGCAUGCCCUCUAAUCCGCCUAACACUUGCUGAAUUCUGAUUGCUUUGUGGAUGGUGAGUUUUGUUUGUUUUAUGAAGAGAGAUCCACUCAGAAAUCUCAGCAGGACUCAGUAUGUAGCUACAAUUUAAUAGAACUGCUUUCCUGAAUUUACUUUUAUGGCUAUCUUCUAUCAAGGCAAAUGAGAAUCAUUCUCCAUUUGGAAUAAUUAUAUCCAAGUAUUUUCUUAAACAGACUUGAGUAAAUCACAAAAGAAUAUUGCUAAGGUGGAAAUACAAAUUAGGAUAAUCACUGUAAAAAUUCUUCAAAAAUUUAAAAAUAGAGCAACCCCACUACUAGCUAUGUAUUCAGAGGAAAUGAAAUCAGUAUGUUAAAGAGAUACUUGCACUUUUAUGUUUUCAACAGCCAGGAUAUAGAAUCAACUCCAGUGUCUCACAAGUAUGUGAAUGGAUAAAGAAAAUGUGGCAUAUGUACACAAUAAAAUAUUUUAACAGGCUGGGAUGGUUGGAAGGAGUAUGUGGAGAGAUGGUAGAGUAAGUCUGUAGUGUCUGUGCCGAAAUAUUUUUGAAAAUUCUACAAGAAGACUUACAAAGUGAUAUGCAACGUAAGUCAACUGUAUUUGGUCAUUCCCCAACGUAUGUAUAUUAUACUUUAAAAUGUAUUGUGCAUG
Molecule: long non-coding RNA, 859 nt
Organism: Dipodomys spectabilis (banner-tailed kangaroo rat)
Lineage: Eukaryota; Metazoa; Chordata; Mammalia; Rodentia; Heteromyidae
Exons: 3
Source: RefSeq, a predicted model, not a curated record